AUUGAACGCUGGCGGCAUGCCUUACACAUGCAAGUCGAACGGCAGCACGGGAGCAAUCCUGGUGACGAGUGGCGAACGGGUGAGUAAAGUAUCGGAACGUGCCCAGUCGUGGGGGAUAACGUAGCGAAAGUUACGCUAAUACCGCAUACGAUCUAUGGGUGAAAGCGGGGGAUCGCAAGACCUCGCGCGAUUGGAGCGGCCGAUAUCAGAUUAGGUAGUUGGUGGGGUAAAGGCUCAACAAGCCGACGAGCUGUAGCUGGUCUAAGAGGACGACCAGCCACACUGAGACUGAGACACGGCCAAGACUCCUACGGGAGGCAGCAGUGGGGAAUUUUGGACAAUGGGCGAAAGCCUGAUCCAGCCAUGCCGCGUGCAGGAUGAAGGCCUUCGGGUUGUAAACUGCUUUUGUACGGAACGAAAAGGUUUGGCCUAAUAAGCUGAGCUCAUGACGGUACCGUAAGAAUAAGCACCGGCUAACUACGUGCCAGCCGCCGCGGUAA
RNAcentral lists this ribosomal RNA (500 nucleotides) under uncultured bacterium. RNAcentral's name for it is "partial 16S ribosomal RNA". It matches the Rfam family "Bacterial small subunit ribosomal RNA", at positions 30 to 523 of the family's 1533-position model. The record is from RNAcentral.